This 316-nucleotide non-coding RNA is filed under the name Neotoma lepida (desert woodrat). RNAcentral describes it as "Eukaryotic large subunit ribosomal RNA". It matches the Rfam family "Eukaryotic large subunit ribosomal RNA", at positions 671 to 954 of the family's 3401-position model. The record is from Rfam by way of RNAcentral. Lineage: Eukaryota; Metazoa; Chordata; Mammalia; Rodentia; Cricetidae.
UUAAUUUCCCAAUUCUUCGAGUCCAAAAGCCGCCCUGGCACAAUGAGCCUGCCCAGGGGGCCCGAGGUGGGAUCCCAAGGCGGGAUCCCAAGGCCUCUCCAGUCCACCCAGGGUGCACCACCAGCCCGUCUCGCCUGCNCAGCUGGGGAGUUGGANCAUGAGCGCACACAUUAGGACCUGAAAGAUGGUAAACUAUGCCUGGACAGGGCAAAAUCAGAGGAAACUCUGGUGAAGGUCCGUAGCAGUCCUGGUGUGCAAAUCGGUAGUCUAACCUGUAAAUAGGGGCAAAAGACUAAUCGAACCAUCUAGUAGCUGG